This 441-nucleotide ribosomal RNA is filed under the name uncultured prokaryote. RNAcentral's name for it is "bacterial SSU rRNA". It matches the Rfam family "Bacterial small subunit ribosomal RNA", at positions 338 to 774 of the family's 1533-position model. The record is from RNAcentral.
CCAACGGGGGGCAGCAGUUAAGAAUCUUGCGCAAUGGGGGCAACCCUGACGCAGCGACGCCGCGUGGAUGAUGAAGGCCUUCGGGUUGUAAAGUCCGGUAAGCAGGGAAGAAUAAGCAACGGGAAAUAUUCGUUGUGAUGACGGUACCUGCCUAAAGCCCCGGCUAACUACGUGCCAGCAGCCGCGGGAAUACGUAUGGGGCGGGCGUUGUUCGGAAUUAUUGGGCGUAAAGGGCGUCUAGGCGGGGGAUUAAGUUAGAUGUGAAAGCUAUGGGCUCAACCCAUAAAUUGCAUCUAAGACUGGUGCUCUGUAGUUCGGGAGAGGAGAGCGGAAUUCCAGGUGUAGCGGUGAAAUGCGUAGAUAUCUGGAAGAACACCAGUGGCGAAGGCGGCUCUCUGGCCUAGGACUGACGCUGAAGCGCGAAAGCGUGGGGAGCGAACA